RNAcentral lists this ribosomal RNA (502 nucleotides) under uncultured bacterium. RNAcentral's name for it is "partial 16S ribosomal RNA". It matches the Rfam family "Bacterial small subunit ribosomal RNA", at positions 30 to 523 of the family's 1533-position model. The record is from RNAcentral.
AUUGAACGCUGGCGGCAGGCUUAACACAUGCAAGUCGAGCGGAGUGAUGGUGCUUGCACUAUCACUUAGCGGCGGACGGUGAGUAAUGCGUAGGAAUCUGCCUAUUAGUGGGGGACAACAUCUCGAACGGGAUGCUAAUACCGCAUACGUCCUACGGGAGAAAGCAGGGGAUCACUUGUGACCUUGCGCUAAUAGAUGAGCCUACGUCGGAUUAGCUAGUUGGUGGGGUAAAGGCCUACCAAGGCGACGAUCUGUAGCGGGUCUGAGAGGAUGAUCCGCCACACUGGGACUGAGACACGGCCCAGACUCCUACGGGGGGCAGCAGUGGGGAAUAUUGGACAAUGGGGGGAACCCUGAUCCAGCCAUGCCGCGUGUGUGAAGAAGGCCUUAUGGUUGUAAAGCACUUUAAGCGAGGAGGAGGCUCUUUUGGUUAAUACCCAAGAUGAGUGGACGUUACUCGCAGAAUAAGCACCGGCUAACUCUGUGCCAGCCGCCGCCGUAA